UUGGUUAAGUUAGAAAGGGCGCACGGUGGAUGCCUUGGCACUAGGAGCCGAAGAAGGACGGGACUAACACCGAUAUGCUUUGGGGAGCUGUACGUAAGCGUUGAUCCAGAGAUUUCCGAAUGGGGGAACCCACUAUCUUUAGUCGGAUAGUAUCCUUACGUGAAUACAUAGCGUAAGGAAGGCAGACCCAGGGAACUGAAACAUCUAAGUACCUGGAGGAAGAGAAAGAAAAAUCGAUUUCCUGAGUAGCGGCGAGCGAAACGGAAAGAGCCCAAACCAAGAAGCUUGCUUCUUGGGGUUGUAGGACACUCUAUACGGAGUUACAAAAGAAAGUUAUAAAUGAAGCGGUCUGGAAAGGCCCGCCAAAGACGGUAACAGCCCGGUAGUUGAAAUGGCUUUCCCUCCAGAGUGGAUCCUGAGUACGGCGGAACACGUGAAAUUCCGUCGGAAUCCGGGAGGACCAUCUCCCAAGGCUAAAUACUCCCUAGUGACCGAUAGUGAACCAGUACCGUGAGGGAAAGGUGAAAAGCACCCCGGAAGGGGAGUGAAACAGUUCCUGAAACCGUGUGCCUACAAGUAGUUAGAGCCCGUUAAUGGGUGAUAGCGUGCCUUUUGUAGAAUGAACCGGCGAGUUACGAUUUGUUGCAAGGUUAAGCGGAAAAAGCGGAGCCGUAGCGAAAGCGAGUCUGAAUAGGGCGCAUAAGUAACAGGUCGUAGACCCGAAACCAGGUGAUCUACCCAUGUCCAGGAUGAAGGUAAGGUAAUACUUACUGGAGGUCCGAACCCACGCACGUUGAAAAGUGCGGGGAUGAGGUGUGGGUAGCGGAGAAAUUCCAAUCGAACUUGGAGAUAGCUGGUUCUCUCCGAAAUAGCUUUAGGGCUAGCCUCGAGGUAAAGAGUCAUGGAGGUAGAGCACUGUUUGGACUAGGGGCCCUUCUCGGGUUACCGAAUUCAGAUAAACUCCGAAUGCCAUGUACUUAUACUCGGGAGUCAGACUGCGAGUGAUAAGAUCCGUAGUCGAAAGGGAAACAGCCCAGACCACCAGUUAAGGUCCCCAAAUAUAUGUUAAGUGGAAAAGGAUGUGGGGUUGCUUAGACAACCAGGAUGUUGGCUUAGAAGCAGCCACCAUUGAAAGAGUGCGUAAUAGCUCACUGGUCGAGUGACCCCGCGCCGAAAAUGUACCGGGGCUAAACAUAUUACCGAAACUGUGGAUGAACCUCUUCGGAGGUUCGUGGUAGGAGAGCGUUCUAAGGGCGGUGAAGUCAGACCGGAAGGACUGGUGGAGCGCUUAGAAGUGAGAAUGCCGGUAUGAGUAGCGAAAGAAGGGUGAGAAUCCCUUCCACCGAAUAUCUAAGGUUUCCUGAGGAAGGCUCGUCCGCUCAGGGUUAGUCGGGACCUAAGCCGAGGCCGAUAGGCGUAGGCGAUGGACAACAGGUAGAGAUUCCUGUACCAGUGCUAAUUGUUUAACCGAUGGGGUGACACAGAAGGAUAGGGAAUCGCACGAAUGGAAAUGUGCGUCCAAGCAGUGAGUGUGAGAAGUAGGCAAAUCCGCUUCUCGCGAAGCAUGAGCUGUGAUGGGGAAGGAAAUUAAGUACGGAAGUUCCUGAUUUCACGCUGUCAAGAAAAGCCUCUAGGAAGAGUAGUACUGCCCGUACCGCAAACCGACACAGGUAGAUGAGGAGAGAAUCCUAAGGUGAGCGAGAGAACUCUCGUUAAGGAACUCGGCAAAAUGACCCCGUAACUUCGGGAGAAGGGGUGCUCUAUUAGGGUGCAAGCCCGAGAGAGCCGCAGUGAAUAGGCCCAGGCGACUGUUUAGCAAAAACACAGGUCUCUGCAAAACCGUAAGGUGACGUAUAGGGGCUGACGCCUGCCCGGUGCUGGAAGGUUAAGAGGAGUGCUUAGCUUCGGCGAAGGUACGAAU
RNAcentral lists this ribosomal RNA (1921 nucleotides) under Listeria monocytogenes. RNAcentral's name for it is "partial 23S ribosomal RNA". It matches the Rfam family "Bacterial large subunit ribosomal RNA", at positions 1 to 1912 of the family's 2925-position model. The record is from RNAcentral. Lineage: Bacteria; Bacillati; Bacillota; Bacilli; Caryophanales; Listeriaceae.